This 1321-nucleotide ribosomal RNA is filed under the name metagenome. Its description in RNAcentral is "bacterial SSU rRNA". It matches the Rfam family "Bacterial small subunit ribosomal RNA", at positions 114 to 1444 of the family's 1533-position model. The record is from RNAcentral.
CUUCGGGAUAAUGUCAUCCCGCAAGGGAUUUCCGAAAGGGGCACUAAUACUGAAUAACAUUUCCGGUCGCAUGACCGGUUCUCAAAGAUUUAUCGGUACCAGAGCGGCCUAUCUCCUAUCAGCUAGUUGGUGAGGUAACGGCCCACCAAGGCGAUGACGGGUAGCGGGGCUGAGAGGUUGGCCCGCCACAUCGGAAUUGAGAAACUGUCCGGACCUCCACGGAGGGCUGCAGUAACGAAUAUUGGGCAAUGGGCGAAAGCCUGACCCAGCGACGCCGCGUGCAGGAUGAAGUACUUCGGUAUGUAAACUGCUGUCGGGGUGAAGAAAGACCGCAAGGUUUGAUCUAACCCAAAGGAAGCAACGGCUAACUUCGUGCCAGCAGCCGCGGUAAUACGAAGGUUGCAAGCGUUGUUCGGAAUCACUGGGCUUAAAGCGUAUGUAGGUGGACAAGAAAGCGUUUUGUGAAAUACCCCGGCUUAACCGGGGAAUUGCUUGGCGAACUACUUGUCUUGAGGCAAGCAGGGGUGCAUGGAACUCUUGGUGGAGCGGUGGAAUGCGUAGAUAUCAAGAGGAACGCCAGCGGAGAAAUCGGUGCACUGGGCUUGUUCUGACACUGAGAUACGAAAGCGUGGGGAGCAAACGGGAUUAGAUACCCCGGUAGUCCACGCCCUAAACGAUGCCUACUAGGUCGUAGGAACUCUGACGUUCUUAUGGCCGAAGCAAAAGUGUUAAGUAGGCCGCCUGGGAAGUACGGUCGCAAGGCUAAAACUCAAAGGAAUUGACGGGGGCUCACACAAGCGGUGGAGCAUGUGGAUUAAUUCGAAACAACGCGCAGAACCUUACCUGGGUUUGACAUGCUUGGAUGGUUGCCUGGAAACAGGUUAAUCUGCUCGCAAGAGUGAAACUUGCACAGGUGCUGCAUGGCUGUCGUCAGCUCGUGUCGUGAGAUGUCGGGUUAAGUCCCUUAACGAGCGAAACCCUUGUCGUUAGUUACCAUCAGGUUAUGCUGGGGACUCUAACGAGACCGCCGGUGUUAAACCGGAGGAAGGCGGGGAUGACGUCAAGUCCUCAUGGCCUUUAUGCCCAGGGCCUCACACGUGCUACAAUGGAACGUACAAAGCGUCGCAAUGCCGCAAGGUGGAGCAAAUCGCACAAAACGUUCCUCAGUUCAGAUUGCAGGCUGCAACUCGCCUGCAUGAAGUUGGAAUCGCUAGUAAUCGCGGAUCAGCUACGCCGCGGUGAAUGUGUUCCUGAGCCUUGUACACACCGCCCGUCAAGUGAUGGGAGUCGGAAGUACCCGAAGUCGGGUUGUUAACCGCAA